This 1696-nucleotide ribosomal RNA is filed under the name Escherichia coli. RNAcentral's name for it is "partial 23S ribosomal RNA". It matches the Rfam family "Bacterial large subunit ribosomal RNA", at positions 1 to 1738 of the family's 2925-position model. The record is from RNAcentral. Lineage: Bacteria; Pseudomonadati; Pseudomonadota; Gammaproteobacteria; Enterobacterales; Enterobacteriaceae.
GGUUAAGCGACUAAGCGUACACGGUGGAUGCCCUGGCAGUCAGAGGCGAUGAAGGACGUGCUAAUCUGCGAUAAGCGUCGGUAAGGUGAUAUGAACCGUUAUAACCGGCGAUUUCCGAAUGGGGAAACCCAGUGUGAUUCGUCACACUAUCAUUAACUGAAUCCAUAGGUUAAUGAGGCGAACCGGGGGAACUGAAACAUCUAAGUACCCCGAGGAAAAGAAAUCAACCGAGAUUCCCCCAGUAGCGGCGAGCGAACGGGGAGGAGCCCAGAGCCUGAAUCAGUGUGUGUGUUAGUGGAAGCGUCUGGAAAGGCGCGCGAUACAGGGUGACAGCCCCGUACACAAAAAUGCACAUGCUGUGAGCUCGAUGAGUAGGGCGGGACACGUGGUAUCCUGUCUGAAUAUGGGGGGACCAUCCUCCAAGGCUAAAUACUCCUGACUGACCGAUAGUGAACCAGUACCGUGAGGGAAAGGCGAAAAGAACCCCGGCGAGGGGAGUGAAAAAGAACCUGAAACCGUGUACGUACAAGCAGUGGGAGCACAGAGCAAUCUGUGUGACUGCGUACCUUUUGUAUAAUGGGUCAGCGACUUAUAUUCUGUAGCAAGGUUAACCGAAUAGGGGAGCCGAAGGGAAACCGAGUCUUAACCGGGCGUUAAGUUGCAGGGUAUAGACCCGAAACCCGGUGAUCUAGCCAUGGGCAGGUUGAAGGUUGGGUAACACUAACUGGAGGACCGAACCGACUAAUGUUGAAAAAUUAGCGGAUGACUUGUGGCUGGGGGUGAAAGGCCAAUCAAACCGGGAGAUAGCUGGUUCUCCCCGAAAGCUAUUUAGGUAGCGCCUCGUGAAUUCAUCUCCGGGGGUAGAGCACUGUUUCGGCAAGGGGGUCAUCCCGACUUACCAACCCGAUGCAAACUGCGAAUACCGGAGAAUGUUAUCACGGGAGACACACGGCGGGUGCUAACGUCCGUCGUGAAGAGGGAAACAACCCAGACCGCCAGCUAAGGUCCCAAAGUCAUGGUUAAGUGGGAAACGAUGUGGGAAGGCCCAGACAGCCAGGAUGUUGGCUUAGAAGCAGCCAUCAUUUAAAGAAAGCGUAAUAGCUCACUGGUCGAGUCGGCCUGCGCGGAAGAUGUAACGGGGCUAAACCAUGCACCGAAGCUGCGGCAGCGACACUGUGUGUUGUUGGGUAGGGGAGCGUUCUGUAAGCCUGUGAAGGUGUGCUGUGAGGCAUGCUGGAGGUAUCAGAAGUGCGAAUGCUGACAUAAGUAACGAUAAAGCGGGUGAAAAGCCCGCUCGCCGGAAGACCAAGGGUUCCUGUCCAACGUUAAUCGGGGCAGGGUGAGUCGACCCCUAAGGCGAGGCCGAAAGGCGUAGUCGAUGGGAAACAGGUUAAUAUUCCUGUACUUGGUGUUACUGCGAAGGGGGGACGGAGAAGGCUAUGUUGGCCGGGCGACGGUUGUCCCGGUUUAAGCGUGUAGGCUGGUUUUCCAGGCAAAUCCGGAAAAUCAAGGCUGAGGCGUGAUGACGAGGCACUACGGUGCUGAAGCAACAAAUGCCCUGCUUCCAGGAAAAGCCUCUAAGCAUCAGGUAACAUCAAAUCGUACCCCAAACCGACACAGGUGGUCAGGUAGAGAAUACCAAGGCGCUUGAGAGAACUCGGGUGAAGGAACUAGGCAAAAUGGUGCCGUAACUUCG